ACAAUUAGUUUUUUACGUAAAAAAUGUUAAAUACUUCAAGCAGAGUUUAUGUGUUAAAUGAUAUUAAUAUUUAAUGAUUUGAAGGCUGAAUGGCACGCGCAAUAUCGUUCUUUCUACCACCUUUCCUUUGUUUUUAUAUUUAGAUGUGAUGAUUUCACAUGCAGAGUGACCACUUUUUAUAUUAGAAUUCAUACUACAGAUUUAUACUAAAGGUUAUGCUACAAACUUUUUUUAAUGAGGGGCCAUUUCAUAUUUCAAGUAUUCUUGAUGUAUUCUUGAUGUAUUAAGAAAUAUUCGACUGAUGCUUGUUACAUGUACAUAAAUACAUAUACCUAAAAUUUAUAGAAACCGCAAUUUCUUGCUUCUCAGAAACUUGAAUUUUAUUAUCAACCAGUUCCGUGAAAAGGCUUACGCAACCGAAAGAAUAUAAAUAUAAGACUGACGACGGACAAACAGAUAGAGUUCGUUUAUGUGAUAGCACAAUAACAGACAAGUUGUGUGAAUCAGACAACAUUUUCGUGACGAUCGAAAUAAAUAAUAUAUAAGUGAAAUUCAAGAAUAUAUAUAGUUAUAACAUAAUUAUAUAUAAUUAGAAAGAAAAGAAGGUGCCAAAUAGAAUUUAAACUUUAUACGAUUUACAUUUGAACUUUGAUUUUUCAGUUUUUAAAAUAAUUUCUUGAGUUUUACGUAAAAAUGAGAUUUCUCAAUUGAUGGAAAGAGUAUAGACAUCUGCAACGGGCAAAUUGUAGAGUUUACCUGUUGGAAUCUACGAGACAAAUCUGUGAAUUAAGGGAAAAUUUAUAACAAUUAAAAAAAAUUAACAGAAGCUAAAAGACAAAAAAGAACUCUAAUCAAAAUUGUAAAAAGGAAAAUGAAAUUUCUUAUAAAGAUAUUGUUGAUAUUUGUAAUAUUGAUGGCUGUAGUUCCACCUGAGAAUUGUCAAAAGAAUCUAAAUGUUGCUCCUGUUAGUAUUAUAACAGCUCCGAUUAGAGCCCGCCCUGACUCUUGCCCGUUUGGUCAACGAAAAGAUAACCGCGGUAACUGUCGCCGUGUUGUUUAACGCGUACAGAGAUAUAAGGUCAGGUCCAGUUCCAUUAAAGACGUCAAAGACGGGCAAAGAUGGAAGAAGCAGAAGAGAAGCGUUUUAAAGGAGCAUCUGAGAAAAGAGUGGAAUUAAAUAAAUAAAAUUCUUUUACAGUAUA
This is a long non-coding RNA of Monomorium pharaonis (pharaoh ant), 1202 nucleotides long. RefSeq lists it as uncharacterized. The transcript has 4 exons. The record is from RefSeq and is a predicted model, not a curated record. NCBI's taxonomy places the organism in Eukaryota, Metazoa, Arthropoda, Insecta, Hymenoptera, Formicidae.